Molecule: ribosomal RNA, 468 nt
Filed under: uncultured bacterium
Lineage: Bacteria
Description: bacterial SSU rRNA
Rfam family: Bacterial small subunit ribosomal RNA
Source: RNAcentral
GACGAACGCUGGCGGCGUGCCUAACACAUGCAAGUCGAACGGAACUGUUUUGAAAGAUUUCUUCGGAAUGAAUUUGAUUUAGUUUAGUGGCGGACGGGUGAGUAACGCGUGAGUAACCUGCCUUCAAGAGGGGGAUAACAUUCUGAAAAGAAUGCUAAUACCGCAUGACAUAUCGGAAUCACAUGGUUCUGAUAUCAAAGAUUUUAUCGCUUGAAGAUGGACUCGCGUCCGAUUAGUUAGUUGGUGAGGUAACGGCUCACCAAGACCGCGAUCGGUAGCCGGACUGAGAGGUUGAACGGCCACAUUGGGACUGAGACACGGCCCAGACUCCUACGGGAGGCAGCAGUGGGGGAUAUUGCGCAAUGGGGGCAACCCUGACGCAGCAACGCCGCGUGAAGGAUGAAGGUUUUCGGAUUGUAAACUUCUUUUAUUAAGGACGAAAAAUGACGGUACUUAAUGAAUAAGCUC